UACGUAGGGGGCAAGCGUUGUCCGGAAUCAUUGGGCGUAAAGAGCGCGUAGGCGGCCCGGUAAGUCCGCUGUGAAAGUCAAGGGCUUAACCCUUGAAUGCCGGUGGAAACUGCCGGGCUAGAGUCCGGAAGAGGCGAGUGGAAUUCCUGGUGUAGCGGUGAAAUGCGCAGAUAUCAGGAAGAACACCAAUGGCGAAGGCAGCUCUCUGGGACGGUACUGACGCUGAGACGCGAAAGCGUGGGGAGCGAACAGG
Molecule: ribosomal RNA, 253 nt
Filed under: uncultured bacterium
Lineage: Bacteria
Description: partial 16S ribosomal RNA
Rfam family: Bacterial small subunit ribosomal RNA
Source: RNAcentral